CUUGGCCUCACUGGGCAAGCUGCUUCCUGAAAGUGCUGACCUCAUUUCUUAAGGGGAUAGAUAAGCAUUUAUUCAUAUGAUGGGAUUUCAAGAGGGUGAGAGCAGAGCCCUCGAAGGUGAUUGCAGGGCGCAGAAGAGGUGUCCAAGGGCUUCAAAGACUUCCCUUAAGGCCUGUCCUGCUUACAAGAAAUGCAAUCAGGGGGAGCAGAAUGACGCAGAGGAGUCUGGAAGCUCAGGAUUGCAUUAAGCGACUUUCCCAUACUGUGAGGAGAUGUGGUGGGGACCAUUAACUGUUGGAAGGAUUCCUUUUAAGGAUGCAUUAUAUCAAGAGCUAGAUAUCAGAGCCACUUGGGAGAAAUAAGAAACAGGUGUAGAAACAGAGGAGAGCUAUAUGUGAACUGCAGCAAGAAGGUGGCUCUCGGCAAGCCAGGGAGAGACCCCUCAUUGGAACUUAAACCCUGCAGGACCUUGAUCUUGAACUUUCCAACCUCCAGAACUGUGAGAAAGAAAUUUCUGUUGUUUAAGCCACCCAGUCUGUGCAAUUUGGUUAUAGUAGCCUGAGCAGACUAAUGCAGAGGUAAAAACCUGUUCUCCCCUCUCCAAAAUCAGGGAAUUUGGUUCUGUGGUAUUGUUGGAGGUGACGUGCUUCAGCUGCUGAAGACUAAAUUAUUUGGGAUCCAGUGACCCUGGCCUUGAAGUUCAGCUGCAGGAUGGAGCUGACAUCACCCAAGCUCAAGUCCAUUCUGCUUCUGCUUCCUCAACACAGUGAGGUGGCCACUGUUCCUACCACUUUGACAGCAGGGAAAAGAGGCAGAGAGGAUCUGGGGCUGGGGCUGGAGCUACAGCUGGAGGGAAUUCACAAGCAAGCUGCAUUUUAAGGUUGUGGUGAAGAAAGAAGAAGCCAGAAGAAGAGAGUUCCUUAAUGCUGGAGAAUACCAUCCAAACCUUGUUAUAAAGCACAUGAGUUUCUGGGGUGCCUGCAUGAUUGAGCUUACACUUUAUCAGGGGAAUUGUUGCCACCGAUUAUAGAUGUUGAAAAACUCAAUAUUUAGAGGAGAAAAUUGAUAAAAGUUUUAUUUGGUUAUAUAAAAAUAAUACUGAGAACAGUCAUUUAUGUGGUUACUUAACAGUCACUUAUGUGGUUAUUUAUGGCUUUUGCUGUGCAGAAAAAUGAAUACCAUGCAGUAUUUUAAAUUGGUGUCGAAUUAACUGUGUAAACUGCUGUUGAUUAAACUUCACAGCUAGUGACUCAUGGUUCAAAAUUUUAAAAAUUCCAGUGAACAUUAACGUGUCUCACUCCGGUGUUGUCUUAUACACUUUUGCAUGUGUACUGUUUAUUUUGUCUUCUCAGAUACACCAGAAACAAACUAAAGGUAUAUUUUAAUAAUUUUCUUCUAUACAUAUAUCCAAUAAAUAAAAUAGUAUCCAUAACAAAAAUUAACUUUAUCAUUUGCACUUUGUUUCUUUCAUACAUGAGAUUUUUAAACCCAUCUUUAAAUGUCAAAAUAGAACUUUGAAAAAUAGAAAUACUUUUUGAAUUAAAGCAUCAAAAGGGACUUCAGAUGUUAUCCAAUUCAGUCCCUCCAUUAUGGAUUGAAUUGGACUUUUAAGCCAAUUGGUUAAUUAAGCUAAAAAAUAAACAAUUUAGAGAUAUUUUUUUCAGGUCUCCUAUUUUUUUGCCAGAACGACAGAUGUGCAAUUCUCAAAGAGAUCGUUUACCAAGAGCUUUAAAUAUUACCGCAGUAAAUAUCUUUUCUUAAUGACUUAGUCUAUUCUUCUGCAAUAAAUCACUGUAUUCUGACGCUUUCAGGAAACUUUGUUUAUACACUGCUGUGGCUGUUAAGUCUUGCCUUCAAUAGUGUUAGUUUUGUGAUACAGUGAACAAAAAUGUGAACUCCUUAAGGAUAAAGGUUGCUCUUGUGCCUUCAUAAAAUAUCUGUUGACUUCUGGGAAUUCUCUAGGCUUUUAAAAUAGUAAUUAAUUUUUUAAAUUGAUGAAAGUUGUGUAUAUUUAUGGUACAUAACUUGAUGUUUUGAUUUAUAUAUACGUUGUAGAAUGGCUUAAUCAAGCUAAUUAACUUAUCUUCACCUCACAUACUUAUUAUUUUUUGGUAAGAACACUUAAAAUAUACCCUCAUAGCAAUUUUUAAGUAUGCAAUAUAUUGUUGUUAACAAUAGCCACCAGGAUGCCUGAUUGAUCUCUUGAACUUAUUCUUCCUGCCUAAUGGAAAUUUUGAAUCCUUUGACCAAUAUCUCCCCUAGUCCCUGGGAAUUUAGUCUUAUAGGCCAUAUUGUGGCAUGAGCAAGGUCACCUCAGAUAUUAGGGCUUCCAAUUUAUUGACUAGUCUCUCUUUAUGACAUCUUUAAGCUAAAAAGGCUAAGGAAAGUGAACUAUGGAGCAAUAUUUAUUUUAUCUGAAAAAUGUACACAUAUGAUAUUUUGGUAAAAUGUAUCUUCCUCUGAUAUACAUAUAUGUUAUUUUCAUAAGUCUGUAUUUUGUUCAUAUUUUAAUUCCAAGUUUUAGUUCCAUUUUAGAUAUUCUACUUUGUGUAGCCUCCAUCAUAACCCCUGCCCCCCGUAUCUGUUGACUUUGAUCAUUGACAUCCAAGUUCAGUGAUCAUCUCCUCAGCAACACCAGUUCUAAAAAAAUAAAAAUAAUAAUAAUUUUAAAAAACCUCAUCCAUAUUCCAGUCAAUCUGUGGCAUAAUUGUGUAUUUUCUUUGUUGAAGAAAAAAAUAAGGAAUUACCUUGUAACACUAACCCAAACUCACUAUUAACACAGUAUAUCCAUGUAAUAAACCUGCACAUGUAUCCUCUGAAUCUGAAAUGAAAAUAAAAAUAAAUAAAAAUAAAAGAAUAAUCUGAGCUCUUAAAAAAUU
This 2878-nucleotide long non-coding RNA is filed under the name Homo sapiens (human). Its description in RNAcentral is "HSALNT0199964". Lineage: Eukaryota; Metazoa; Chordata; Mammalia; Primates; Hominidae. The record is from RNAcentral.